GAUGAACGCUGGCGGCGUGCCUAAUACAUGCAAGUCGAGCGAACAGACGAGGAGCUUGCUCCUCUGACGUUAGCGGCGGACGGGUGAGUAACACGUGGAUAACCUACCUAUAAGACUGGGAUAACUUCGGGAAACCGGAGCUAAUACCGGAUAAUAUAUUGAACCGCAUGGUUCAAUAGUGAAAGACGGUUUUGCUGUCACUUAUAGAUGGAUCCGCGCCGCAUUAGCUAGUUGGUAAGGUAACGGCCUACCAAGGCGACGAUGCGUAGCCGACCUGAGAGGGUGAUCGGCCACACUGGAACUGAGACACGGUCCAGACUCCUACGGGAGGCAGCAGUAGGGAAUCUCCCGCAAUGGGCGAAAGCCUGACGGAGCAACGCCGCGUGAGUGAUGAAGGUCUUCGGAUCGUAAAACUCUGUUAUUAGGGAAGAACAAAUGUGUAAGUAACUAUGCACGUCUUGACGGUACCUAAUCAGAAAGCCACGGCUAACUACGUG
Molecule: ribosomal RNA, 497 nt
Filed under: uncultured bacterium
Lineage: Bacteria
Description: partial 16S ribosomal RNA
Rfam family: Bacterial small subunit ribosomal RNA
Source: RNAcentral